This is a long non-coding RNA of Gossypium raimondii (Peruvian cotton), 429 nucleotides long. RefSeq lists it as uncharacterized. The record is from RefSeq and is a predicted model, not a curated record. NCBI's taxonomy places the organism in Eukaryota, Viridiplantae, Streptophyta, Magnoliopsida, Malvales, Malvaceae. The transcript is spliced from 2 exons.
UUUAAAACUUGUUUUAAAACAAAAUUAGGUCACUUUUCUUUUUGUUUGAAAAUACAACAGCAGACUCAGCCCCCCCUCCGCCGUUUCAGACUUCGACGAAACGAGGACGCCCUCCGACGACCCUCACGACGGUAUGGAGAUCGUGGAAGACGUGCGAGCAAUGUCAUGGGAUAAUGAACAGUUGCUGAACGUGGGUGGUUGCGGCGCCGAAACCAUCAGCCUCCUAGGAUUUCUGUGACUUUGAAAAAUUUGGGCUGUAUAGGGUUAUUGGUUUGGGCUUUAUUGGGCCUCAUGUAUUUGGUUUGUAUUCGGCCAAAUGUGGGCUGUAAACAGUUUUGGGCCCCGGGCAAUAAUUGGGUAUUACAUACGCGAUUAUUAUAUUUCUUAGUCUAUUUUUUGACAGAGUUAAAAAAAAAAUCUUAUAAUCAA